AGCUGUGUGGUGAGCACAAAGCGAACUAUUCUUUCGCCUUUUACUAAAGAAUACCGUGUGCACGCCACAAUACGCAGCAUACGCUAAUUUUUGGAGGGUGUCUUCUCUUUGAGGAGGCC
Molecule: non-coding RNA, 119 nt
Organism: Brachypodium distachyon (stiff brome)
Lineage: Eukaryota; Viridiplantae; Streptophyta; Magnoliopsida; Poales; Poaceae
Source: Rfam